RNAcentral lists this transfer RNA (62 nucleotides) under Psammotettix sp. EMHAU-2015-Zz060503. RNAcentral describes it as "tRNA-Cys". Lineage: Eukaryota; Metazoa; Arthropoda; Insecta; Hemiptera; Cicadellidae. The record is from RNAcentral.
GGUCUUGUAGUUUAAUAAAAACUUUAAAUUGCAAAUUUAACAAUGAUUUAUAUCUAAGACUU